This is a long non-coding RNA of Oreochromis niloticus (Nile tilapia), 997 nucleotides long. RefSeq lists it as uncharacterized. The transcript has 4 exons. The record is from RefSeq and is a predicted model, not a curated record. NCBI's taxonomy places the organism in Eukaryota, Metazoa, Chordata, Actinopteri, Cichliformes, Cichlidae.
GUUUAUCCAAGAGCAUCCCACAACCGCUUUGAACACUCUACUGGGGUGGGAUACUUAGCAGGAGAGCUUGCUAAAGCCCUCAAGGUGAAGCAGCCAGAACUUGAUAUCAGUGAACGAGAUGUCCUCUGUGUGCAAAUUGCAGGUCUUUGCCAUGACCUGGAAAAGAGAGGAACCGAAAAUGUCGGGGGUAAGAAUGAGAACAGCUCAUAAAACAAGAUUAACAAAACAAUAAUAAUACCUCACAUGUUAUUAUGCUUCACAAGAUGAAGGAAAGUUUUUAAUAAAAAACUGGUUGAAGACAUUCCUGAGGGCGGGAAAGACGAGUUUGUGGUUAUUGUUGUUCCAUUGGACUCUGAAGAAAGACAAUGACCCCAUCAGUAACAUUUUUCUAUCACAAGGAUAAGCCUGACAAAGCAAUCUCCGAAUCAGAGGUGAGAACUACAGCUUUUAUUUCCAUGUGUUGUGUGUUCUUUUUUUAUGCAGCUCCAUAAGACAACAUUGGCUGUGUAAUAUGUCAUUUUUAUGCUGCUGUCCUCGAUGUCAGGUGUCCAAGCUUCUCCCAGAGCACAUUUCUGACGAGAUACUUAGGGUUUACUGGAAGAACCAUGAAGGAGUGUAAGAAAAAGAGAGAAAAAAUAAAGAAAAAGAGGUCACAAAAUUCUUUAAAAGCUGGUGCAAGGACUAUGGCUUCAAAGUAUUACUUACCUAAUUUUGUCUAACUGCAUCGAUUGGUAUUACUACAUAAUAAGCCAAAAGAUCAUUGUGUAGGCAGGAAAGCUGCUGUUAAAAACUGUCUUAUCUUGUCACAUCCCUGAAUUCAGAUUACACUUCAUAACUCUGAUGUCUUGGUAUUAAUAAUAACCUUUAUUUAUAAAUAUAUAGAAUGCAAAAGAGGAUGGUGGCAAUGACAGUCGAACUCCAGUCGAUCUGAACAUGUGAAAGAUUCAGAUAUCACGUUUUUGUGUGACUGUAGGGAUUUUAAUAUAGUUGGUUUGAA